RNAcentral lists this ribosomal RNA (200 nucleotides) under uncultured bacterium. RNAcentral describes it as "partial 16S ribosomal RNA". It matches the Rfam family "Bacterial small subunit ribosomal RNA", at positions 28 to 238 of the family's 1533-position model. The record is from RNAcentral.
GAUGAAUGCUGGCGGCGUGCUUAACACAUGCAAGUCGAGCGGCAGCGCGAGUAGUUUACUACUUGGCGGCGAGCGGCGGACGGCUGAGUAACGCGUGGGAACAUGCCCCAAAGUGAGGAAUAACUGCCCGAAAGGGUAGCUAAUGCCGCAUAUGAUCUUCGGAUUAAAGGAUUUAUCCGCUUUGGGAGUGGCCUGCGUAC